This 279-nucleotide ribosomal RNA is filed under the name uncultured bacterium. Its description in RNAcentral is "partial 16S ribosomal RNA". It matches the Rfam family "Bacterial small subunit ribosomal RNA", at positions 506 to 784 of the family's 1533-position model. The record is from RNAcentral.
UGCCAGCCGCCGCGGUAAUACGGAAGGAGCGAGCGUUAAUCGGAUUUAUUGGGUUUAAAGGGUGCGUAGGCGGCCUAUUAAGUCAGUGGUGAAAGGUAUCAGCUUAACUGUAGAACUGCCUUUGAUACUGCAAAUCUUGAGUUCGGAAGGGAGAGGCGGAAUUCCAGGUGUAGUGGUGAAAUACGUAGAUAUCUGGAAGAACACCAGAGGCGAAGGCGGUCUCUUGGUCCGAAACUGACGCUGAGGCGCGAAAGCGUGGGGAGCAAACAGGAUUAGAUA